CCUACGGGGGGCAGCAGUGGGGAAUAUUGGACAAUGGGGGCAACCCUGAUCCAGCCAUGCCGCGUGUGUGAAGAAGGCCCUCGGGUUGUAAAGCACUUUCAGUGAGGAAGAACGCCUGGUGGUUAAUACCCAUCAGGAAAGACAUCACUCACAGAAGAAGCACCGGCUAACUCCGUGCCAGCAGCCGCGGUAAUACGGAGGGUGCGAGCGUUAAUCGGAAUUACUGGGCGUAAAGCGCGCGUAGGUGGCUUGAUAAGCCGGUUGUGAAAGCCCCGGGCUCAACCUGGGAACGGCAUCCGGAACUGUCAAGCUAGAGUGCCGGAGAGGAAGGUAGAAUUCCCGGUGUAGCGGUGAAAUGCGUAGAGAUCGGGAGGAAUACCAGUGGCGAAGGCGGCCUUCUGGACUGACACUGACACUGAGGUGCGAAAUCGUGGGUAGCAAACAGGAUUAGAUACCCUGGUAGGC
This 465-nucleotide ribosomal RNA is filed under the name Vreelandella stevensii. Its description in RNAcentral is "partial 16S ribosomal RNA". It matches the Rfam family "Bacterial small subunit ribosomal RNA", at positions 338 to 795 of the family's 1533-position model. The record is from RNAcentral. Lineage: Bacteria; Pseudomonadati; Pseudomonadota; Gammaproteobacteria; Oceanospirillales; Halomonadaceae.